GGGUCGAUGGCGUAGCUGGUUAUCGCAUCUGUCUAACAUAGUAACACGUUUGUCAAUGUACACAGAAGGUCCUCAGUUCGAACCUGGGUUGACUCA
Desarmillaria tabescens is the source of this 96-nucleotide non-coding RNA. NCBI's taxonomy places the organism in Eukaryota, Fungi, Basidiomycota, Agaricomycetes, Agaricales, Physalacriaceae. The record is from the annotation of a RefSeq genome assembly.